GUGUUCCCUUCGGCAGCACCUACACUAAAACUGCAACGAUACAGAGAAGAUUAGCAUGGCCCCUACGUGAGGAUGACAUGAGCAUUCCUGAAGCGUUCUGUAUUUAA
Molecule: small nuclear RNA, 107 nt
Organism: Echinops telfairi (small Madagascar hedgehog)
Lineage: Eukaryota; Metazoa; Chordata; Mammalia; Afrosoricida; Tenrecidae
Source: RefSeq, a predicted model, not a curated record